This 467-nucleotide ribosomal RNA is filed under the name uncultured bacterium. Its description in RNAcentral is "partial 16S ribosomal RNA". It matches the Rfam family "Bacterial small subunit ribosomal RNA", at positions 28 to 523 of the family's 1533-position model. The record is from RNAcentral.
AACGAACGCUGGCGGCAUGCCUAACACAUGCAAGUCGAACGCGAGGUCUCGGUUCGCCGAGGCCUUGAGUGGCGCACGGGUGAGUAGCGCGUGGGAACCUGCCCUGGAGUGGGGGAUAACCGAGGGAAACUUCGGCUAAUACCGCAUGCGCCCGGAGCAAUACGGGGAAAGAUUUAUCGCUCUAGGAGGGGCCCGCGUCGGAUUAGCUAGUUGGUGGGGUAACGGCCUACCAAGGCUUUGAUCCGUGGCUGGUCUGAGAGGAUGAUCAGCCACACGGGGACUGAGACACGGCCCAGACUCCUACGGGAGGCAGCAGUGGGGAAUAUUGGACAAUGGGCGAAAGCCUGAUCCAGCAAUGCCGCGUGAGUGAGGAAGGCCUUAGGGUUGUAAAGCUCUUUCGGCGGGGACGAUGAUGACGGUACCCGCAGAAGAAGCCCCGGCUAACUUCGUGCCAGCCGCCGCCGUAA